GACUUACAGCUGGGUAUCUCGAAUUCCGAGGUGAACUUACUAUAAUGACUGGACUAAAACCCGUGGGUUCGCGGCCUUCCUAUGAUCUGGUGGAAUACAACCGAGGUGAAGUCGAUUUGGGAUGCAAACUUUCAGGAAUAUUCUUCAUUUUGCGGGUUUUGCGUUGAGAUGGUACAGCUCGUCCCAAGUCAAUUCCUCUGCUGUAAAAUAAAAGAGUAAAGUGAGAGCAAAAGAGCGGGUAUAUUCGUAGCAGCAACAUUGUUAUUCCUCGUCACUUUCAAUGAGGUGAUUUCUCAGGGUUAGUGCUUACUGUGGAGAGAGUUCUCCUUAUGCAAAUGGUUUGUAGGUAAGUAAAGGUCUCUCCAACAUCCAGAUGUCUUUAUAUAAUUCUUGCAACGUCCUUUGCUAAGAUGAGACCGAUACAUAUUUCUCUAUCCCUAAUUUCAUAACACGCAAGGACGAAGAUCAUCGAUUAUACCUAUACAUCCUCAGCAACUUCUCUAAUAGCAAUUUUCUUCACUUUCUCAACAUUUUCAUUGGUAGCUGAUGUGCUGGGGCGUCCAGGGCAUGCGUAGUCAUUCUCGACCUUCUGCGAAAAGCUUUUACCACUUGUAUAUUCCGCUGUGGAACACACACAGUUUGGAAAUGACGUCAUUGCAUAAAAGAACGUGCUUAUUCGUGACUACGUCAUCAGUAAUAAAGGUUGCAUAAUCAGUAGUCGUUAAUAGCACUUAAUUAAACAAUAAUAAAAUGAUUCAUAGUGAAUAAUUCCAGUCGUAUUGGCCAUAAUUUUUUGGUAUUAACGAUUUAUUCAGGAAUGCCAUAACAAUGAAUUAAAAUAUUUACAAUGAAAGUACGCAACACGUAAAACACCGUGACGUUGAAUAUGACGUUCAGGUGUAUGAGUGACGUAAUGCCAAAACGUGGGUCUCUCCAUCCUUUUUUAGAUGUUGGAGUCCGUGUCCCCUAUUUAAUGUUCGGUCCAUAUUACGCCGUCUCUGGUGAUGGGGAAAGCUGACAUACCGUUUACAGCGCCUUUCAUUAUAUUUAACAAAAGAGGCGAUUUUAAACCGACAGUAAUCAUAAGUGGUAGAAAAAAAUGUUGUGUAGUUCGAGUUAUAGAUUACUUGGUUACUGUAAGCCAGUCCAGCAUACCUGACAAUUCUCUUGAAAAUUAUAUGAACAAGUUUACUGAUAAAUACUGAAAAUAACGUUAAAUAAAAGUAUACCAGAGCCGCUUGCAUAAUGAUAUUAAAUUCACGACUCUAACAGGCACCAAUUUCCCACCACCUCAGUGAUGUGAUUUAUACUGAUUCAAUGAUGGAAUUUCCAGAAUCAAUACCUAAAUCUCGAACUAGUUCCGAGAUAAGCCGACGUUUCAUCUAUAAAAAUUUAAGUGGAAACAUCCUUGACGAAUGUGACUGAAGUCUCGCAUACAAUUUCUAAUUACCCUUCAUCAUUCGCAAAAUAAUUAUCAUCGUGUAAUCGUCUAGUAUUUCGGUUCGGCAAUUUUGACGAAUAUGAAAAGAAAAUCAGCUGUCAAGAAUUCAGUUCGCAAAAGUAAAAGAAGAAGAGUCUGAACACGAAAAAAAAGUCUCUGGAAGAAAGUGAAUCUGACCUUGGUCGAACUGAAUUUCGAAAGAGUUGGUCCACCGCUAUUGGUAACCCACCAAUAAUAUGGUUCCUUUUUUGGAAAAAAAAGAUUUGGAGGAAGCCUAUUGAACAAACGAAAAUUUGAGAACAAUGAUCAAAAACAAUAAUCGGGAGUAUAUAAUCUGAUUUCCUGUCUCUAACGUUAUAUUGGUCAAACGGGGAGAAUGAUAUUCAGAAGAAAGAAAGAACAUAGAAAAAAAGCUUUCGAAAGGGAAGGCAAAUUCGACAUUUGCAAACCAUCUUUUGCGGUGCAUCACUUCAAGAUAAUACUCCUUAUUGACAGUACGACCAUGUGGAAAGAAAUCCUGAAUGAAUUUCCAAUCAAGUAUUAACCAGUUACCUGAAACAUUGA
Molecule: long non-coding RNA, 2005 nt
Organism: Leptinotarsa decemlineata (Colorado potato beetle)
Lineage: Eukaryota; Metazoa; Arthropoda; Insecta; Coleoptera; Chrysomelidae
Source: RefSeq, a predicted model, not a curated record